AAAUGAAUUGACGGGGACCCGCACAAGCGGUGGAUUAUGUGGAUUAAUUCGAUGCAACGCGAAAAACCUUACCUACCCUUGACAUGUCCGGAACCCCGAUGAGAGUUGGGGGUGCCCGAAAGGGAGCCGGAACACAGGUGCUGCAUGGCUGUCGUCAGCUCGUGUCGUGAGAUGUUGGGUUAAGUCCCGCAACGAGCGCAACCCUUGCCAUUAGUUGCCACACUUCGGGUGGGCACUUUAAUGGGACUGCCGGUGACAAACCGGAGGAAGGUGGGGAUGACGUCAAGUCCUCAUGGCCCUUAUGGGUAGGGCUUCACACGUAAUACAAUGGCGCAUACAGAGGGCUGCGAAGCGGCGACGCGGAGCCAAUCCCAGAAAGUGCGUCGUAGUCCGGAUUGUUCUCUGCAACUCGAGAGCAUGAAGUCGGAAUCGCUAGUAAUCGCGGAUCAGCAUGUCGCGGUGAAUACGUUCCCGGGUCUUGUACACACCGCCCGU
This 495-nucleotide ribosomal RNA is filed under the name uncultured bacterium. RNAcentral describes it as "bacterial SSU rRNA". It matches the Rfam family "Bacterial small subunit ribosomal RNA", at positions 903 to 1397 of the family's 1533-position model. The record is from RNAcentral.